Myotis daubentonii (Daubenton's bat) is the source of this 1542-nucleotide long non-coding RNA. RefSeq lists it as uncharacterized. The record is from RefSeq and is a predicted model, not a curated record. Lineage: Eukaryota; Metazoa; Chordata; Mammalia; Chiroptera; Vespertilionidae.
CGGGGAAAGAGCGGAGGAGAAGGAAGUGGGGAGCGGCGGAAGCCGAUUGGACGCUAGCACCGGAAGUCGUGUGGCGGCUGGCACCCUCCCGCUGGGCGGGGUUGGGGCGGGGCUACAGGCGUGGUGGGCGGGGCCAGGCGAGGCGAUAGGCGGUGUUACAGCCGCUUUACUCGCCGGGUUUCGGCGGAGCCCAGCGCGGUGCGGGGGCCCCGGGCGGGCCCCCGCGGAGGAUCCACGCUGUCCCAGUGGCAAGGGCGCCGCCCGCCUUCCACGCCCCCCGGCCUCUGUGGGACCCCAAAGGCUCUCUGGGAAACUAGGUGCUGCUAUCAUUCAACGUUAGAGCUGAGUCACUGACACAUUGGGAAACAUGGACUGAUGGUGUAACAGCAAACUGUAGAAAGGGCAUUCAACAAUUUCCCUCGUAUCCCAUUGGCUCCAGUGAGCCUAUUGGUCACACCUAUCUCCAAAGGAGACCGGAAGACAUGGGUUCCGAGGGGCUCAUGAAGAGGAGGAAAACAAAGAUGGGAUAACAGUCCAGGGUCCCCAGCACGCUGGAUUAAGAAGGAGGUACCCUGCGGAAGGUAUUUGCGUGGGGCCAAAGAUACCACACUGCUCUCGUGUCUCUGACUCCUCCAGACACUGGCUCUUUUUGCAUCCAUGUCCUCUGGACCAUUCUCUGUGUCCAGGACAAACUCGGUGCUAUGACUGGCCAGGCCUUGGCAAUGUGCACACCCUCAAGGCCAAGAGGACAGCUUCUAUGACUAAAAGAAAGGAAGCUUGCUGGACUAAAUAAGACAAGAAAUUAAGGAUCUGUCUUCCAAGUACUGAAGGUGAGGCUCAGCUUUCUUCUUCACCAAAAUCAAAGAAUCCUAUAGAAUGUCAAUGGGCUUACAUGCUGUGUUAGCAAAUGUUCAUGAUCUGUUUUAUUUUGUACAUAUAAUAAGACUGUUGGCUGGUGUGGUCAGUUUUAAACAGCACAGACAUUGAAACCAGAAGCAUCUGGAUUUAAAAGCAGCUCUACCACUUGUGAAUAAAAAUAAUGUCAUCACUACUGAUACACGUAUAUCAAGCAUGGUACAUUAUAUACAUUGUCCCCUACUUCUGUUUCUCACACAAACCCUCAAAAGGUUGUGUCACCAGCUUUCAGAUGUAGAAACGGUAGCACCAAGCCGUUGAUGAACUUGCUGAAAGACGGUCAGCACGGGAGCCAUCAACAGCCAGCGUGGUUUUUAACCCUGGAGACUUGAUCAGUACGAUAAAUUGCUUUUCCAUGUUUCCUUGCUUUGAAAGCACCUAGAGAAAUUUUAGUUUGCAAUAGUAUUAUCUGUGACUUUUGACAAGUUACUUAUCUUUUCUGAGCCUCGCUUUCUUUAUCUGUAAGCUUAGAAAUUUGGGGUUUGAAUAUUUCUUGUGUUUGUUUCAACGUGAAGAUCUGAGAAUAUAACAUUCUUUCCACUGUUAUUAAAUUUCACUGUGUUAACAGUAGAUGGUGCUAUUGAGUACUGGCUUUAAAACCCAAUAAAAACAAUUCUAAUUACUAAA